CCUACGGGAGGCAGCAGUGGGGAAUAUUGCACAAUGGGGGGAACCCUGAUGCAGCGACGCCGCGUGAGUGAAGAAGUAUUUCGGUAUGUAAAGCUCUAUCAGCAGGGAAGAAAAUGACGGUACCUGACUAAGAAGCCCCGGCUAACUACGUGCCAGCAGCCGCGGUAAUACGUAGGGGGCAAGCGUUAUCCGGAUUUACUGGGUGUAAAGGGAGCGCAGACGGCUGUGCAAGUCUGGAGUGAAAGGCGGGGGCCCAACCCCCGGACUGCUCUGGAAACUGUAAAGCUGGAGUGCAGGAGAGGUAAGCGGAAUUCCUAGUGUAGCGGUGAAAGGCGUAGAUAUUAGGAGGAACACCAGUGGCGAAGGCGGCUUACUGGACUGCAACUGACGUUGAGGCUCGAAAGCGUGGGGAGCAAACAGGAUUAGAUACCCUUGUAGUC
Molecule: ribosomal RNA, 440 nt
Filed under: uncultured bacterium
Lineage: Bacteria
Description: partial 16S ribosomal RNA
Rfam family: Bacterial small subunit ribosomal RNA
Source: RNAcentral